Molecule: ribosomal RNA, 253 nt
Filed under: uncultured bacterium
Lineage: Bacteria
Description: partial 16S ribosomal RNA
Rfam family: Bacterial small subunit ribosomal RNA
Source: RNAcentral
UACGUAGGGCGCAAGCGUUGUCCGGAAUUAUUGGGCGUAAAGAGCUCGUAGGCGGUUUGUCGCGUCUGUCGUGAAAGCUUGGGGCUUAACCCCAAGUCUGCGGUGGAUACGGGCAGACUAGAGGCAGGUAGGGGAGAACGGAAUUCCCGGUGUAGCGGUGAAAUGCGUAGAUAUCGAGAGGAACACCUGCGGCGAAGGCGGGUUGCUGGGCUGACACUGACGCUGAAGCGCGAAAGCUAGGGGAGCGAACGGG